AAAUUGAAGAGUUUGAUCAUGGCUCAGAUUGAACGCUGGCGGCAGGCCUAACACAUGCAAGUCGAGCGGCAGCGGGAAAGUAGCUUGCUACUUUUGCCGGCGAGCGGCGGACGGGUGAGUAAUGCCUGGGGAUCUGCCCAGUCGAGGGGGAUAACUACUGGAAACGGUAGCUAAUACCGCAUACGCCCUACGGGGGAAAGCAGGGGACCUUCGGGCCUUGCGCGAUUGGAUGAACCCAGGUGGGAUUAGCUAGUUGGUGAGGUAAUGGCUCACCAAGGCGACGAUCCCUAGCUGGUCUGAGAGGAUGAUCAGCCACACUGGAACUGAGACACGGUCCAGACUCCUACGGGAGGCAGCAGUGGGGAAUAUUGCACAAUGGGGGAAACCCUGAUGCAGCCAUGCCGCGUGUGUGAAGAAGGCCUUCGGGUUGUAAAGCACUUUCAG
This 444-nucleotide ribosomal RNA is filed under the name Aeromonas veronii. Its description in RNAcentral is "bacterial SSU rRNA". It matches the Rfam family "Bacterial small subunit ribosomal RNA", at positions 1 to 439 of the family's 1533-position model. Lineage: Bacteria; Pseudomonadati; Pseudomonadota; Gammaproteobacteria; Aeromonadales; Aeromonadaceae. The record is from RNAcentral.